AGGGAUUGCCCUAGUAACGGCGAGUGAAGCGGCAACAGCUCAAAUUUGAAAUCUGGCUUCGGCCCGAGUUGUAAUUUGCAGAGGAUGCUUCUGGCGCGGUGCCUUCCGAGUUCCCUGGAACGGGACGCCACAGAGGGUGAGAGCCCCGUAUGGUCGGACACCAAGCCUGUGUGAAGCUCCUUCGACGAGUCGAGUAGUUUGGGAAUGCUGCUCUAAAUGGGAGGUAAAUCUCUUCUAAAGCUAAAUACCGGCCAGAGGCCGAUAGCGCACAAGUAGAGUGAUCGAAAGAUGAAAAGCACCUUGAAAAGGGGGUUAAAUAGUACGUGAAAUUGUUGAAAGGGAAGCACUUGUGACCAGACUUGGGCCGGGCGGCUCAUCAGGGGUUCUCCCCUGUGCACUCCGCCCGGCACAGGCCAGCAUCGGUUCUCGUGGGGGGAUAAGACCGUUAGGAACGUAGCACCCUCCGGGGUGUGUUAUAGCCUGGCGGACGAUACCCCCGUGGGGACCGAGGUUCGCGCUCCGCAAGGAUGCUGGC
Molecule: ribosomal RNA, 535 nt
Filed under: uncultured fungus
Lineage: Eukaryota; Fungi
Description: eukaryotic LSU rRNA
Rfam family: Eukaryotic large subunit ribosomal RNA
Source: RNAcentral